UUAACUGUAUAGAUGAACCCUAAAAAGUUCUAAAAGCACAAAGAUUUGGUCCUGGUCUUAUUGUCAGUUAUCUCUUGAUUUACACAUGCAAGUCUCAGCACACCAGUGAGGACGCCCUUACCCCUUCUAUAGGACAAGGAGCUGAUAUCAGGCACUUCCACCGCCCAUAACAUCUAGUCCGACCACACCCCCAAGGGUAUUCAGCAGUGAUAAACAUUGUUUAUAAGCGACAGCUUGACUCAGUCAAAGAGAAGAGGGCCGGCCAACCCGGUGCCAGCCGCCGCGGCUAAACCCUAGGGCCCAAAUUGAUAAUACUCGGCGUCAAUCGUGAUUAAAGCUUUCUAAAAUUAGAGUAGAACCUAUUAUUAAGCUGUGAAAAGCAAUUUUUUUAGGGAAAAUCAGAAACGAAAGUUACUCUAAUAUACACUUGAACACACGACAACUGGGAAACAAACUGG
Molecule: ribosomal RNA, 458 nt
Filed under: Fejervarya limnocharis (Boie's wart frog)
Lineage: Eukaryota; Metazoa; Chordata; Amphibia; Anura; Dicroglossidae
Description: partial small subunit ribosomal RNA
Source: RNAcentral